CGUCACGGUAUCCGAGCAUUAAUGACCUCCUACAAAAUGUUCAAUUAAAUAAAUAUAUAUGGUGUGCAUGCUUUAAAAUUGCUGCUUUUAAUGCAGGUAUCUAGUCACGAGUCACGACAUUUAAGAUAGUUCCAAGGGGAACCGAAGGAGCUGUUAGUGUUGAGGGAACCGUUGCUGGACUUUUAGCAUCAAUUCUCCUUUCUUUCGUUGGUUAUCUGAUGGGUGAGAUAAAUGGACCCGAGGCUGUGAUUUGUGUUGUAGCUUCCUAGAUUGCUAAUCUUGGUGAAAGCGUGAUAGGUGCUUCCCUCCAAGAGAAAGAAGGAUUCUGAUGGGGUGGAAGACCACGUGUUGCAGACUUCGUUCAUGGUUCUGAUGGAUUAGGGAACAUUUCCUUACCUCCUCCAAAAUCCAAGAAAAUUGAGAAGAAGGCAUCGGAAUUUUUGGUGGAUAUGGUUUCUAAAUAUCCUGGUGAAGUAUCCAUACUUGUGCUGGGACCAUUGACAAAUUUUGCUUUAGCAAUGAAAAGGGACUCAUCCUUUGCAAGCAAGGUCAAGAGAGUAGUUAUUCUUGGUGGAUCUUUCUUUGCAUUGGGGAAUGUCAAUCCUGCUGCUGAAGCAAAUGUAAGUGAUUACCACCUCUACAAUACGUUCUCCUAUUCCAUAUGGUAUGAGCCACUAUCUUAUUUUCUUGGGAGGGAGUAGUUUAUCCAUGCUUAUGAUCUAAUAUAUGCUCUUUCUACUGAUGUUGUUUCAAGUUUGGUUGCUCUAAGAAGGGAAGCUUUUGAAGACGGAAUCCAAGCUACUAUGAAUUUUCUAAUAUCUUUAGAACUUUUUGGAUGGUUUUGAAGUUGAGAACAAUUUUUGAUGUUUAGAAACAUAGUUUUUGGAUGAUUUGUAAUGCACAGACAAUUUUUGGAAAAAUUAAACAUGACGUAUAGGAUGUGCUGUUAAAAGUUUUAAUGGCAUGCUAUGGCAUGCCGUUAAAAGUGAAUGACUUUCCAUGACUAGUUAUGACGUACCUUGUGCGUCGUAGAAUCGUAUCCAUGGCGUGCAUUUGGCGCCGUAAAAACCUUUUUUUGGUGCCGUAAUCCUUCAAAACAAUAAUUGUCCUUCUCACCAAAUAAUUUCAUCAAUCAUAUCAUUUUCACUAUAAUGAUCAAUUGUCUAACCUAAUAUCAUAUCCUAUUAUCACUUAGAUACCCUUUUAUAUAUUAAUGAAAGAAAUAUUGAGAGAGUGAUUGAAAGAGCUAAUACGCUCUGUAAUUCAAAAAUGUGUAUUAAACCUGAAGAGAAGGCUCCAUUAUAUAGGAGAGCUGAUACAACAUCAUUAUGAUACUACAGCAUGAAAGAAAACAUAUAGAAAUAAAAAGCAGCCGAAAGCGAAGCAUCUGAUGAGAAGGCA
This is a non-coding RNA of Camellia sinensis, 1401 nucleotides long. The record is from RefSeq and is a predicted model, not a curated record. Lineage: Eukaryota; Viridiplantae; Streptophyta; Magnoliopsida; Ericales; Theaceae.